This 222-nucleotide long non-coding RNA is filed under the name Elaeis guineensis (African oil palm). Its description in RNAcentral is "long non-coding RNA (EGUI_LNC015676)". The record is from RNAcentral. Lineage: Eukaryota; Viridiplantae; Streptophyta; Magnoliopsida; Arecales; Arecaceae.
GGCUAUGAUGUAAUUCCUAAAAUAAUAUAUUCACUUAUAAAGUCAUGCUAAAAUCAUAUGAUCUUCCUAAAAUGACGAUAAUCUCUAAAUUAUGCUAGUCAUCCGAGAGAGAACAAGAAUACAAGAGCUAGGCAUCCAAGCAAUUCCUAAACUGUUAUGUGGCUCCUUUAAUUGUGUCUAAUCAGCAGUCUUGCAAAAUACCUAUCCAUACUAUCAAUCUAU